CUACGGGCGGCACCAGUGAGGAAUAUUGCACAAUGGGGGGAACCCUGAUGCAGCAACGCCGCGUGGAGGAUGACGCAUUUCGGUGUGUAAACUCCUUUUAUAUGUCAAGAAAAUGACGGUAGCAUAUGAAUAAGCACCGGCUAACUCCGUGCCAGCGGCCGCGGUAAUACGGAGGGUGCAAGCGCUACUCGGAAUCACUGGGCGUAAAGGACGCGUAGGCGGGUUGGAAAGUCAGGUGUGAAAUCCUACAGCUUAACUGUAGAACUGCACUUGAAACUUCUAAUCUAGAGUAUGGGAGGGGGAGAUGGAAUUAGUGGUGUAGGGGUAAAAUCCGUAGAUAUCACUAGGAAUACCUAAAGCGAAGGCGAUCUCCUGGAACAUUACUGACGCUAAGGCGUGAAAGCGUGGGGAGCAAACAGGAUUAGAUACCCGCGUAGUC
This 439-nucleotide ribosomal RNA is filed under the name uncultured bacterium. RNAcentral describes it as "partial 16S ribosomal RNA". It matches the Rfam family "Bacterial small subunit ribosomal RNA", at positions 339 to 795 of the family's 1533-position model. The record is from RNAcentral.